RNAcentral lists this transfer RNA (72 nucleotides) under Bulinus ugandae. RNAcentral's name for it is "tRNA-Glu". It matches the Rfam family "tRNA". Rfam says of the family: Transfer RNA (tRNA) molecules are approximately 80 nucleotides in length. The record is from RNAcentral. Lineage: Eukaryota; Metazoa; Mollusca; Gastropoda; Planorbidae.
UCCCAUGUGGUCUAGUGGUUAGGAUUUCUGGCUUUCACCCAGGCGGCCCGUGUUCGAUUCCCGGCAUGGGAA